RNAcentral lists this ribosomal RNA (301 nucleotides) under uncultured bacterium. Its description in RNAcentral is "partial 16S ribosomal RNA". It matches the Rfam family "Bacterial small subunit ribosomal RNA", at positions 509 to 807 of the family's 1533-position model. The record is from RNAcentral.
CAGUCGCCGCGGUAGUACGAAGGGUGCAAGCGUUAAUCGGAAUUACUGGGCGUAAAGCGUGCGUAGGCGGUUUGUUAAGUCUGUUGUGAAAUCCCCGGGCUCAACCUGGGAAUGGCAAUGGAUACUGGCAAGCUAGAGUGUGUCAGAGGAUGGUGGAAUUCCCGGUGUAGCGGUGAAAUGCGUAGAGAUCGGGAGGAACAUCAGUGGCGAAGGCGGCCAUCUGGGACAACACUGACGCUGGGGCACGAAAGCGUGGGGAGCAAACAGGAUUAGAUACCCGAGUAGUCCCUGUCUCUUAUAC